Molecule: long non-coding RNA, 475 nt
Filed under: Erythranthe guttata (spotted monkey flower)
Lineage: Eukaryota; Viridiplantae; Streptophyta; Magnoliopsida; Lamiales; Phrymaceae
Description: long non-coding RNA (EGUT_LNC002428)
Source: RNAcentral
CGGCUCACGAGCUCACAAACAACUUAGAAUGAGACUCGUCAAAAAGUUCGAGUUCGAUCCGUCUCGGCUCAUUUAAAUACACCCCUAGCUGAUAGUGCCAGUUGCACAAAUCUACACCACAGGGAUUUUUUAAGUUUAUGGAGUGGCAACCUAAAUUCAUGCUUAAUUAGGGAAGAUACAUUUAUUGCAAUUGAAAGCUAACAAGAAACCAUUACUGCUAUUUUAUUGUCUGGAAAAAAAGAAGAUAACAUUACCCUUGAAGUAGUUAAAAAUCAGAAAAAUAAAAAUAAGAAUACAGACUAAUGAUACAAACAUGCCUCACAAUAUGAAGUGGGAUUCUUGGGAAUAACUUAAUCCAAAUUUCCCUCUGUUUUCAUUUCAAAUCUUACUUCUGCCUCUUUGUAAAUCUUGCCCAAGAAGGAUAUGAGAACUGCCUGCACAGAUUUGCUAGGAUGAGAUUCAAUGGAGCUUGUUA